CCUACGGGAGGCAGCAGUGGGGAAUAUUGCACAAUGGGGGAAACCCUGAUGCAGCGACGCCGCGUGAGUGAAGAAGUAUUUCGGUACGUAAAGCUCUAUCAGCAGGGAAGAAAAUGACGGUACCUGCCUAACAAGCCCCGGCUAACUACGUGCCAGCAGCCGCGGUAAUACGUAGGGGGCAAGCGUUAUCCGGAUUUACUGGGUGUAAAGGGAGCGUAGACGGCAGCACAAGUCUGGAGGGAAAUCCCGGGGCUUAACCCCGGAAAUGCUUUGGAAACUGUGCGGCUGGAGGGCAGGAGGGGUAAGCGGAAUUCCUAGUGUAGCGGUGAAAUGCGUAGAUAUUAGGAGGAAAACCGGUGGCGAAGGCGGCUUACUGGACUGUAACUGACGGUGAGGCUCGAAAGCGUGGGGAGCAAACAGGAUUAGAUACCCGAGUAGUC
Molecule: ribosomal RNA, 440 nt
Filed under: uncultured bacterium
Lineage: Bacteria
Description: partial 16S ribosomal RNA
Rfam family: Bacterial small subunit ribosomal RNA
Source: RNAcentral